RNAcentral lists this ribosomal RNA (465 nucleotides) under uncultured bacterium. RNAcentral describes it as "partial 16S ribosomal RNA". It matches the Rfam family "Bacterial small subunit ribosomal RNA", at positions 338 to 795 of the family's 1533-position model. The record is from RNAcentral.
CCUACGUGAGGCAGCAGUGGGGAAUAUUGCGCAAUGGGCGAAAGCCUGACGCAGCGACGCCGCGUGAGGGAUGAAGGUCUUCGGAUCGUAAACCUCUGUCAGCAGGGAAGAACGGUCACUGUGCUAAUCAGCAGUGAAUUGAUGGUACCUGAGUAAGAAGCCCCGGCUAACUACGUGCCAGCAGCCGCGGUAAUACGUAGGGGGCAAGCGUUAUCCGGAUUUACUGGGUGUAAAGGGAGCGUAGACGGCAGUGCAAGUCUGGAGUGAAAGGCGGGGGCUCAACCCCCGGACUGCUCUGGAAACUGUACGGCUGGAGUGCAGGAGAGGUAAGUGGAAUUCCGAGUGUAGCGGUGAAAUGCGUAGAUAUUAGGAGGAACACCAGUGGCGAAGGCGGCUUACUGGACUGUAACUGACGUUGAGGCUCGAAAGCGUGGGGAGCAAACAGGAUUAGAUACCCGAGUAGUC